This 133-nucleotide small nucleolar RNA is filed under the name Oryzias javanicus (javanese ricefish). RNAcentral describes it as "Small nucleolar RNA SNORA3/SNORA45 family (ENSOJAG00000002851.1)". It matches the Rfam family "Small nucleolar RNA SNORA3/SNORA45 family". Rfam says of the family: The members of this family belong to the H/ACA class of snoRNAs which are thought to guide the sites of modification of uridines to pseudouridines. This family includes mouse snoMBI-28 and human homologues ACA3 (SNORA3) and ACA3-2 (SNORA45). The record is from Rfam by way of RNAcentral. Lineage: Eukaryota; Metazoa; Chordata; Actinopteri; Beloniformes; Adrianichthyidae.
GGCGAGGCUAGAGUCACACCUGGACACGGCUCGUUGUCCUGGUGUGCUAUAGCGCUCGCAGAGGAACCCUCAGAGUUUAUUCAUUGGCUGCAGUCUCCUCGUGGCCCGGCCAAUCACCGACUCUGAUACACUC